Ornithorhynchus anatinus (platypus) is the source of this 1302-nucleotide long non-coding RNA. RefSeq lists it as uncharacterized. The transcript has 2 exons. Lineage: Eukaryota; Metazoa; Chordata; Mammalia; Monotremata; Ornithorhynchidae. The record is from RefSeq and is a predicted model, not a curated record.
CCGCUGGAAGAAAGGAAAAACAUAAAGGUCACUGGCGGUACGGUACUAAUUACCGCAGGAUUGGUUUUCCUACAGCUCUUUUCUGAAUAAGGAUGGGCUGAGAGACUGGCGGGGAAGAACGUCAUACACUUCUGUAACCUGAACAGCUGCGAAUAUCUUCCGGUCUCCUCAUCCUACCAAAUGCUACGAAAAUUUCAGUGAGUAGAGAGCUUGGGUCUUACUGGCACUAGAGAACAUGUUGUCAAACUCAAUGAUGAGAUCAUCAUCUCGGUCGAAGCGCUCAAACCGAACCAGGGGAGAAGCAUUCAUAUCUGGAUAAUCUUCGUCCAGUUCCAUUUCAGAACCAUCGUCAUCAUCGUCCUCAUCUCCUUCUUCACCCUCUUCAUCAUCCUUGAUGGAAAAAUAGAAGGUAGAAUUAGGAUUUUUAGGGUAAUCCCAACGGAAACCUGCAAAACGUUUAUGUAUCAUGAGUAGGUGAAGGCAUAACCUGGGUCUUGGCAUUUUUGUUUUUUCUGGGUGUCAUUUUCUCGGUGUCAUCUCUUAGUUUAGAGGUAAUUCCUUGAAGAUACACACACACCUUUGGGUGGCUUUUUAUACAAGGACAUAUAAGUUGAGGGGCUAAGUGGCAUAUUUUAAGUGAACUAGGCAUAUUUUAAGUGAGCUAUCCUUAAAAUCAUUUUUUCACCUUUUUUUCCCCUGAAACACAGUCAGGGUGGGUAGGGCGUCUAUUGGGAGAGGUUGUCCGAGAUGAGGGAGGAGCAAAAAGCAAGAAGGGGAGAGGGUGACACAGCCACCCUACUCAAGGGUUCUCUGCCUUGAAAAGCGGAAGCCUCUCCUCUCCUGCUUAGGAGACUCGGGGGCAGCCACAGCUCUGGAAAAAUAGGAUUUGAGCUGCUGAGGGAGAUGCAGGGUGGGGAUAACUGGCCUCGGCUGCCCGUCUCCUUUCCUACUUUCCGGCAGCAGGGUGGCUACGCCUGUCCCAAGAAAAAUUUAAUGCAUCAACUGACUUGGUCAUCUUCUUCAUCUUCCUCCUCCUCUUCCUCCUCAUCUUGACUAUCAUCUUCAUCUUCAUUGCUGCCACUACUGUCUUCCUCCUGGGUGUGCUCCUCUUCAUCUUCGGGAUCCAAGAUGUUCAUUGAAUCUAAAAAAAAAAAAAAGACAAGGAAUCACUGGGAGAACUGGACUGCAAUGGAUGCAGUGAGCAAGCGAGAAGGGCAAGACGCCAAACCUUGAAGCAUUCGUCAAAAAAGUGAUACCAACCAGUCCAAGAUCUCGGUGCUCAAAUAAAUGCCUCUGACUGAC